CGGAUUAUGGAAUUAUUAUUUAUUUACAAUAAAUAUUUUUACUGUUCAAUUCAGUAGAGUCUGA
RNAcentral lists this transfer RNA (64 nucleotides) under Limois sp. WW-2021a. Its description in RNAcentral is "tRNA-Val". Lineage: Eukaryota; Metazoa; Arthropoda; Insecta; Hemiptera; Fulgoridae. The record is from RNAcentral.